UUCUUAGUUUCUUAUUUAAGACUUACUAUGUAUUUUCUUUUAAUGUAAAGGGUCGUCUCCCUAAGAUAUUAUGUCGUGUCUUAAGUUGUCUUGUAACAAUGAGAUUCUUUAAGUAUUUAUGAAAGUUUUCUUUUUGUUUUAAUUGUCGUGAAAAUUUUUAAUUCCGCACUACUUUUCAUGUCUUAUAUAAUGAACAAUAGUUAAAGGGCUUGUACAAGACCCCAAAGGGUCAAGUACGCCUUGUCACGAAUCGAGGGUUCUCCCUAACUUCUAGGGGGUACUUUCGGGUCGUGACAUAGAACAACAUUAGUUGUUUGAAGCACAUCGAUAUGCUUUGUUCAAUAUCGGAGAUGAAAAAGUAGAGACAUUCAUCAGGUAAGAUAAAUAAUCAUUUGUUUUUAAACAUCUUUUGUAUGUUAUGAUAUUGUGCUUUAAAUUCCAUUAAUAAAUAUACAUUGAUUUAAUUGUAUAUCAUGCUUGCAGGGAACAUAAGAAUUUAAUCAAUAAUCAUACCGAAGGAAAUGCAUGGGUAAAAGCACAAAUGCAUAGUAGAGAAUUCUGUGAUUGGUCUAGGGAUAAAGUUAAAAAUAUUUAAGUGCCUAAUCAUUUAAGAUGGCUAUAUAAAGGGACUAAUUUUGUGGCUAAAAGAUAUAUUGGAUAUUUCAUUAAUGGAUAGAUUUUAUACAAAGACACGGGAUGACCCUUGCAAGACUCAAAAUAGUGGAGUUACUUUGUCAGCAACAAUAGAUAGUUUUGCUAGCACUAGGGGACCAAAUUCCUAUCGAUGGAAUGGUUAUCUAUUAUGAAAUUAUCCAGGAUAUCAUUGAGAUUGAUUAUUGGGGUUGCUUUAGUGUUGUACUUUUUACAUAUGAUUGGUUUCAUAACGAAGUCGAUGAAUAUAGAUUGACUCGGUUAUACUUCAAUAAACAAUGUGGUACGAAUGAUCCUUUUGUACUAGCAUCUCAAGUGCAUCAAGCUUAUUAUGUGGAAGACCCAAUAGAGAAAAAUAUAUGUUAUGCAGGAAAUGAAGUCCCAAUAGUUUUGUAUGAUUUGGAGGAAGAGAAUUGUCCUAAUAUUGAAGAAACAUUUCGGGGAGAGACUAACGAUGACAUUGGUUCAUCACAAAGAGUACUGGAUGAUGUUAGAUGGUCGAGAUAAGAUCUCCCUGUUGAUAUAAUUGAUAUGUUUGCCCUUGCACAAUAUUCGGAAGAUUUAACUAUGGAAUCAUCAGAAGAGGAGGAUGACUUUGAUGAUACUGAUUGGGAUUGGAUGGAGGCUGAUGAUUGACAAAGGAUAUUUUCAACUUUUUCAAAUACAUUCUCUUCUUCGUUUUGGUAAUUUUGAUAGUCAUGAGUCAACAAGAGUCUUCAAAAAGAAACAAAAAAGCAAAAAAUAAGACAUAUGCUAAACCUGGAUCAUUAUCAUUCUUGGCAAAUAAAAAACGAAGGUUAUUGACAACAAAUAAAAUUGCUCAACCUAAGGAGUCAGAGAAAAGGAAGCUGCUUAAAUUAAUUGAACAACCAACAGUAGCACCACAAUCUGAAGCUAAUGGACAAUAUGUGGAGAAGCAGCCUCUUGAGUUGCAACCUAUAGAUGAUCAAGUAGAAAUGAACUCUGGAACUCCGACAACUGGUGAACAACCUGAAGAACAAGUUGAAUGUGUUUCCAGUAAAAAUAAAAGAGGUCAAACUCAAAUGCAUGAUGUACAUGCAUGAAAACAGCGUAAACUGAUCAUAUUAAAUAGUCUCAAUCAACCGGUUGGUCCUACUGAAGACGUUAUGACAGAGUUAAGUAGCUUUCUAGGUACAUUGGCAAGAAAUAAGACUCUUUGCCCAUUUGAUAUAUUUGAUUGGAGGAGCAUGGAUACUAAAAAGGAUUUAUGGGAUUAUAGUAAGGUUUGGAGUUUCCAGUAUUUAAUCUGUUAUAAAAGUAUUUUACUUCAAUUGGCGAACUAAAUGACUUCACAUUGUAGGAGAAAUACAUUAUUCCUGAAGCUGCCAAAGAUUGGGCUUUGGUAACAAUUUUAAAUGCUUGGAGAAGGAAUAGAUCUGACUUGAAGAUGAAUUAUUACGAUCCAUAUGACAAUGGUGAAAUUUGAAUGGCAAAAAAGCCUGGUCAUAUUUCAGAAUGUCAGUAUAGAGAGCUCUUUAAAUAUUGGAAGUCUGAGAAAUUCAAGAAAAUGUCUGAAACAAACGCUAAGAAUUGAAAAAAGCUGAUGAAUCACACACAGCAGUCAAAAAGAGUUUUGCUUUAAUCCGCAUAAAUUACAGUAUAGAGAGCUCCUUAAAUAUUGGAAGUCUGAGAAAUUCAAGGAAAAAGAAAAGGAAUUUUUAUCUGCUAAAGAGCUCUUUGUGGUCACAAGAACAAGAAAACCUGAUCGUUCCUACAAGGCAUCGAAUGAGAACACAACUAGUAAAAUUGCUUAAAUGGAGGAACUUGAAAAGCAAAUGAGCACAAAUGGUCAUUCAAUUGAUGCAUUUUCAGCUGUCACGGGUCAUGAACAUCCGGGACGUCUAAGACUAUAUGGAUCGGGGGUUACAGAUACUACUGUGAAAAGAAAGUUGACAAUUCUUAACCAAGUUUAAAUGCAACAAAUGAUGUAGUGCAACAAAUGCAAGAAAGAAUGCAAAAAAUGGAGGAACAAAGGAGAAUUGAUCCUAAAAUACUAGCAGCAUUGUCCGUUCCUUCACCAAGAGAAGCUACUUCUGCUCAAACAGCUACUACUACUUUAUCUUUAUCUUUCUUUUGAAACUCAAUUUCUUCUGAGUUGAGAGGAUUGAUUUUUUCACUGGUAAUCCUUGCAUGGUAGUAAAUACGGGGGGUCGUAAUAUAUAUAGGGUUUUCACUUAGGGAUUGAUUUGUCUCAAUUUGGCUGCAAAGGAUUGGAUAACAGUGAAUGGGGCAGGUUGUGUUAUACCUCGUCUUUUUUGGUAUUAUUUUUGUGAUUCUUGCAAGGUUGAGGUAUUCGAUCAUUGGAAAUAUGGGGUUCUGCACUACAGUUCUGUUUUAGUUGUGUGUAGAGAUGUGUUUUUUGAAAUUAUUUAGCUUCUGGAGAAAUUAGAUAGAGGAACAUAGACAUGAUUUUGUUUUUUUGGCCUGUAUGGUACACUCCAGCAUCUCCUUGGUGUUUUUGUUUGUAUCCUGCAUAAAAUGUUUUCCAAAAGCUCUAGUUUUCUCAUUUGUAAGAUUUAUGAUUGCAUCAUCUGAUUUAGAAAACAUGUUCUUUGUUUUAUGACUUUUCUUGAGACUCACUCAUACUCGUAUGAAGCCUGUUCAUACUAUGUUGUUGGCUCGGAUCUUUUGUCUUUAGGAAAUUGUUUUUCAUUGGAGAGUGUCUCUGUUUCUUUGCUCCAAAUUGUUGUGAGAUGUUCUUCUAGUUUAGGGGAAGAAUCCCUAUGAAUAGGUCGUCACUAUCACUACUCUGUUUAAACUAGUUGAGAAGGUUGAUUUUGUCUUCUGUCUUUCCUCCCAUUUUUCCGAACCAUACUUCUUCCUCUGCUUUUACAGUCUGCUAAUCUGAAUCAGAUUAGCAAGUAGCUUUAGUGUUUUAACAAUUAUCAUGUGAAUGAAGAUUGUUUCUCCUCUCUGUGGACUAUUUUGAUUGCUCUUGCAGCUGAGAUUCCACCCAAUAGUAUACUUACAUUCUUCCAUCAUCAUAACGUAGUAGUUUUUUUAUUUGAAGAUGAUUGUGGAUUGUUUUUCUACAUUUAGAUUCUUCUUACUCUCCAUGUGGCCUUAAUCCUUAUUACUUACGUGUGACCUUAGAUAAAAUUUGACGGAUUCUAUUUUAUAUAUUAAAACCCCAAGUGAUUCACUGUGUAGAAUAAACAAAGAUUGCUGAUAAGCUUGAAAGAAGUUAUAUCCAAUUGAUACUGAAGAAAAGCUAGCAUCAUCUACUUUUUUCUGUUCUGUAACUUUAUUAGCACAAAUUUUUUAAGGUAACUUGUAUUAUGAACAAAGGAAUACUCAUAAAAGUAUUUCAGUAAUACAUGGGAGAGGUACAGACUGAACACAGAAUAAAAUGAUGUCCCUCUAAGGACAUCCCAUGAAAUAGGUAAAAGGAUUAAAUAAGAGAAGGUUAUUUGAGAUCUUGUGAUCAUUUUGUUGCGCUUACCAUCCGGCAUUUUGAAGUCAGUUUAGGAUGAUAGAGACGUAAAGAGACUUGACAAUGACCAAUAGUUUAGGAGCUAUUUCUUCUUCUUUCUUAGAUUUGGAAAGUCUUAGUUGUCUUUUCCCAUGUAAAUUUAUUUUUCUUUCCUUUUCGUGUAAUACUUACUAGUGAUCAGGUACACUAGCUAAAUAUUAAAUCUCCUCUACAAAAGUAGACAAUUCUUCCUUUGUAAAGGACAUCCUUUCUAUUACUCAAAUUCAUCCUUUGGGUUUCGUUCAAAUAGUUGGUAUAGUUUUGUUUGACUUGACAAACAUCUGCAGGGGUUCGUAGUUGCAUAAUAAUGCUAACUCAGAUGCCUGCUUAAAAAGGAAAAGGGUGGAGUUAAUUUUGAUAUCUAAUGAAUAUCUAACCAGAUGUUUGUUUCUCUGUGGACUAUUUUUCUACAUUUAGAAUCUUCUUACUCUCCUUUGACAGCUGUUGAAACUUUUACCAUUUUGAUAAGUGUUCUCUUUCAUAUGCCUUAUUAACAACGAAAUCUUCUAGUUGAUUUGCCUAUCUAAAAAUAUGUGUUGCUCUUAACUGUAGAGUUUUUGUAAUAUGUCGUACUUCUUCUAUUUCCUUUAUAUGUUGUCAUGGCACUUCCUAUUCCCCCCCCCCCCUCUACAUACAUGAUAUGCAUAGUGAAUCUGUCUCCACAACAACCUUUGUGAUGUUGCUAGUUUGACAAUGUUAUAACGCUCUUAGAAUUGCUCAUGUUCUGUACUUGAAUAGAGACUCUAGAUGGUAUAAUUCCCAAAAGUAGUAGCAACUAUCUCUGUAACUAUGCUAUUUUCUUAAUGUCAUUUGAGUAGUAUUGAAUUUAUAUGCAUAUUGUAGAUAUAGAGUGAUAACUUUAAAAUAUGUCACUGAAGUCAUUGAACUUUUGCAACAAAAUUACUAAAUUAUUUUGUAUUUUCAUUAAUUGUACAUAGGUGAUGAUAUAGAAGAAGGAGAUGAAAGCAGUACUAAAGACUUGACAUAGGAGCUGAUUUGAGUUUGACAAUGUACUGAGUCAAUUAUCCAUUCUACAUCAGGAUUACAAUCACUUCUUAUAGUAUUCAUACCUGCUUGUGCAUCAGCCUUGCAACUACCUGUUGGUUUAGGACUCAUCAUUUUCAGUGUUUCAUCCCUACUGUAAUAUCCACCUGGAAAGCUGAACUUCUUCUCAGUGUUAUUCUCUUCCUCAACUGUGAUAUUAUUGGCUUGUGGCUUGAAAA
Long non-coding RNA from Solanum pennellii, 5367 nucleotides. RefSeq lists it as uncharacterized. The record is from RefSeq and is a predicted model, not a curated record. The transcript is spliced from 6 exons. Lineage: Eukaryota; Viridiplantae; Streptophyta; Magnoliopsida; Solanales; Solanaceae.